AGUCGGUGACUCCCCCCUCCAAAAAGGGAUGGGGAACAGUGCUGCGUGUGGGAGGGAGGAAGAGAAGGAUGGGAAAAGUGGUAGGGCUCACUCUUCGGUCAUUAUUAUUGUUAAGAAACAUGGACAGACUCUGAGAUUACAGAGUCCAGAAUGAGUGUUGAAGAAACAGCAGAAGGGACCUAUAGACCCUGGAGUUGUGGUUGAGGAAACACUUCAGUACCCUGCCUUACUGCAGCAGUGAUGUCAAACUCAAAUGGAAACUGGGCCACUUAGCCAUGCAUAAGAAUCCUUGCAGGAGAGUGAUCUUUGAACUAGGAAGAACAAGUCAAAGUGACCAACGAGGAGUUGAUACCAACAUAUGUAGGGAGGUAAUGUAAGAAGACAAGGACAAGUUAGCAGGCCCAGAUGAACUACAUACGUCUUCAAGUACUAAAGAAAUGGUAGAUAUAGCUGCUGGACCACUGUCAGCAGUCUCAGAAAAAUCAUGGAGAAGUAGAGAGGUACCCCCACCUUAUGUGAGGAGGACAAAUGACCAGUAUGUAUAUUUAGAUGAAACAUGGUCUAAUCUACAUCUUUGCUGACUGACCAAUUAGGAUAAUGUAGCCCAAGGGCAGUUGGUCCAAAGCUGAGUUGAUUCAUUCACCCAAGAUGUGGUCCCAGAGUAGAUGGUUGAAGAAUUUAGAACUAGUAGAACUACUGGACCCAAAGAGUAGUUUUUCAUGAUUCACUUUCAGUUAGGUAGGAAGACUCCAUUGCAGUGGCCCUAGGACUCUGUACUUGGCCCUGUGCUAUUUAUCGUUGCACAGAUGGCAUAUUAGACUUGUAGGUGACAGGGCUAGAAGGGAGAGCUAAUUCACUGAAUGACAAAAUGAGUAUUGAAAGAGACCUGGAUCAUCUGGAACACUGGACUUACUCUAAUAAGAUAAAAUGUGACCGGGAUAAAUGUAAAGUCUUUCACUCAGAUUCACACAAUCAGUUCACAGGUAAUAAGACUGGGGAACAUACAGAAAUUUUCUGAAAAAAAAUGGGGAUAGAAUAUUGUCCAUUAAACUCACCAAUCUGUGCUUACAUGGAUUGACAAUGAUGUCUAGGACUAGGGAAGUCAUAAUCCUGUCGUGCUGUGGCUUCAUCAUAGGAUCAUAAAUUUAGCUUUGGAAGAACCCUCAGAGUUUGACUAAUCUAACCCAUUCGUUUUACAUGUGAAAAAAUAGGUUAAGUGACUUGCUGAAAGUCACACAGGAGGUGUGUG
Phascolarctos cinereus (koala) is the source of this 1249-nucleotide non-coding RNA. NCBI's taxonomy places the organism in Eukaryota, Metazoa, Chordata, Mammalia, Diprotodontia, Phascolarctidae. The record is from RefSeq and is a predicted model, not a curated record.